UUAGGUUGGUGCAAAAGUAAUUGUGGUUUUUGCCACUGAGGCAAUGGCAAAAACCACAAUUACUUUUGCACCAA
RNAcentral lists this microRNA precursor (74 nucleotides) under Rhinopithecus bieti (black snub-nosed monkey). Its description in RNAcentral is "miRNA (ENSRBIG00000000129.1)". Lineage: Eukaryota; Metazoa; Chordata; Mammalia; Primates; Cercopithecidae. The record is from RNAcentral.